UUGUAGGUGGUUCACGUGUGGAUCUCGUCAGCAUAUCGUCGCAAACAGGUAAUCCCCAACCAUAGUGGGCUUGGAGCUGUGAGGGAAUUUGGAGUGGCUACCCGUUCUGAAAGUUUGAUUUUCUUCUGGUGAACUGGACAUCCUUUUAUUUACGUUUGAAGUUUUGGGUUUUUAAAUGUAAUAAGGCCGCUUAAUUAUUUUUGAUGGUUUUAAUAUGUAUUACUAAGAUAGGUAUUACUUAUUUUAACUGUUGAAAUUGGAUAGCUUUAGGGCGCGUUUUCAAAAACAACAA
Molecule: long non-coding RNA, 292 nt
Organism: Gossypium arboreum
Lineage: Eukaryota; Viridiplantae; Streptophyta; Magnoliopsida; Malvales; Malvaceae
Exons: 2
Source: RefSeq, a predicted model, not a curated record